Mobula hypostoma (lesser devil ray) is the source of this 5130-nucleotide long non-coding RNA. RefSeq lists it as uncharacterized. NCBI's taxonomy places the organism in Eukaryota, Metazoa, Chordata, Chondrichthyes, Myliobatiformes, Myliobatidae. The transcript has 3 exons. The record is from RefSeq and is a predicted model, not a curated record.
CUUGAAAACACUUUAUUACUGUUGCUGGGAGUACAUUUCUGCAGAUUUCCCAAAUCCGUCACUGACCAUUUGACACAGGGAGUGUGUUCCCUAAAGAUGAGUUUUUAGUGACCUAGUGUCACCAAGCUUCUGGGUGAGGUAUGCAACUAAAGUUGCACUUGCUUUAAUUUGAAUGUAUAAUGUGUCACCAGGGCUGAGUAGACUUGGCUGAGGCAAAAUACAGUGCAGUGUAGGGAAGUGCAUUAUCAUGCACUUAGAUAGAAGGAAUAAAGGCAUAGACUAUUUUCAAAAUGGGGAGGAAAUUCAGAAAUCAGAGUUGCAAAGGGAAUUGUGCUGGAUUCAAUAAAAUCAAUGAUAGCGAAGACAAAUGCAACGUUAGCCAUUCCGUUUGAGAGGACUGGUCCAUAAAAGCAAGGAUGUAAUGCUGAGGAUUUAUAGGGGACUGGCCCGACUGCGCUUGGAGCAUUGAGAGCAGUUUUGUAGCCCUUACUGAAGAAAGGACGUGCUGCCAUUGGAGAGGGUUCAGAGGAGGUUCACGGGAAUGAUCCCAGGAAUGAAAGGGUUAACGUGAGUAUUUGAUGGCUCUGAGUCUGCAUUUGCUGGACUUUAGAGGAAUGAGGGGGGUCUCAGUGAAGCUUAUUGAAUGGUGAUAGGCCUAGAUAGAGUGGAUAUGAAGAGAAUGUUUCCUAUAGUAGGAGACCAGAGGGCACAGCCUCAGAAUACAGGGACAUCCCUUCAGAACAGACAUGAGGAGGGAUUUCUUUAGCCGGAGGGUGGUGAUUUGGUGGAAUUCAUUGCACAGAUGGCUGUGGAGGCCAAGUCUUUAGGUAUAUUUAAAGUGGAGGUUGUUAGCUUCCUGAUUCGUCAGUGUCAAAGGUUACAGGGAAAAGGCAGGAGAAUGGGGUUGAGAGGAAUAAUAAAUCAGCCAUGAUGGACUGGCAGAGUAGACUCGAUGGGCCAAAUGGCCAAAUUCUGCUCCUAUGUCUUAUGCUCUUAUCAUCUUAAAGCCAAGGUUUAGUGGCUUGGGUUAACAAAUGUCACUGGGUUUCAGGGUGAGCUAUGAAAUGAAAUUCAUGCUCCCUUUAAUUUGAACUUGUGUGUUUCUGAGUCCCAUUAAGUACUGGCUCGGCGGCAGAUCCUCUUUGCGAUCUGAAUUCAGGGGUAACGUAGCCACAAAACUGUGUAAAAAUAUUCCGGGACUUUUCAGAUUCCAGAAAUACCUUCUGUGGCUCUGACUGGUCGAGCCGCCCUUUCAAUCCCUCUUCAGUUUUGUAGCUCCAACUGGCAGAUCUUGUGGUAAAUUCAGCAUGUUUCUGGGAAUGGAGAGGUGCCAAAGCUGAGCAGGAAGCAAAGCCAUAAAAGGAGAGGCCGGAGCUGGAGUGCUGAAGGGCGGGUUUCCUUCGUUCUUGCCUUGGCUUAUCUCUCGCUGACAGGCAGGGAGUGGAGCUCCACACCUUAAUUUCAACGGCAUGCUUCCCUCUAAACCAUUGCUCCCUUCCCCCGCACAGCCUCCCAGGCUUGUUCCUGCUUGUACGUAUGUGGCUUUUCAAUGUUGCAAUAACUUCGCUGUGCUCAGUUUUCUUUUCCUCUUUAACCCUUCGCAGAGUUCAUAGGCUGUUCGUUCGGCCUCUCGAGCUGAAAGCCUUCACGUAGGCCUUUAACUCCGUGCUCACAGAGCGUGAAACACGACAUCGCUGUAGCGUAGUGGCUAGUGCGUCACCUUGCGGCACCAGUGGUUCGGGUUCAAAUCCCACCCCUGCCUGUAAGGAGUUUGUACAUUCUGUCCGUGACCGUGUGGGUUUCCUCCGGGUGCUCUGGCUCCCUCCACUGUCCACGGGUGUUAAGAGGGUCACUGACACAUCCUACUACAUCCAACAAAAGUAACAUGGAAAAGUAUUUCCUCUCAGAGGACCUGAGCCUAUGAAAAAAGUCUGGUGGAAGCAGAGCCUUUGAAUAUUACUAAAGAGAGCGGAAGAUAGAUUCUUGAUAAGCAACAGCGUGAAGCAUAACCUCAAGUCAGCAGGAAUGCAGAGAAUGAAUCUGCCAUGAUCUUAUUGAAUGGCAGAGCAGGAGUAGAAGGGCUGAGUGGCCUACUGUGCUCCAAAUUUGAAAUACACAGGACUUCCGGUCAAGAUAGUGCCUGCGUACAAAGCUCCUUCGGUCGACACCUUCUGGAUAGAUCAUGAAAAUAUAUAUGCCUUUUACGUUUGUUGUUCAUCUUGAAUGUGAUUCCGGAACCGUCAGAGCCUGCGAUUUGCAGUUCAGAGAUUGUUUGGAUGUUUCAGCACUCUGGCAUCUCCGAGAAGACUCUGGGAGGCAGAGGCAAGGUGCGGGGACCUCGUGGUGAGGCGGCUGCAAGCUGAUGUUCGACUCCAUUUCGCUGAAUAAAGCUUCCAUUGUUCGCUGAUUGGAGCGAUGAGGGAGAUUGAAAUGCCAGCUGCCUGGCUUUUUAUCGGUGGUGAGAUCACUCUGCUGUGGAGAGAGGAGACUGCCUUUCUAUCACUGGUGAGAUCACUCUGCUGUCAGAGUGGGGAGACUGCCUUUUUAUUGCUGGUGAGAUUGCUCUGCUAUGGAGAGGGAGAAUAUUACCCAGGUUUUCUGCAUUUAGGUUGUGGACUUGGAUUGUGGAUUUUUUUUUCAGUCGUAUGUUUUUUUGUGUUCUGUGUUUUUCGCCCAACCUUUCUCCUUUUUUUUCGUGUGUGCAGGAGGGGGAUUUGGUGGUUAAUGUGCCUGUUCCAUUUUUGUUCAUUUUUUGUGGGAAGGAGGAAGGGUUUUCCGGUUGAUGAUCGUUCUGCAUUUGUUUUUUUUUAAUUUCAUGGCCAUCUAGAGAAAAAUUUCAGAGUUGUAUACUUUGAUAAUAAAUGAAUCUUUGAACCUUUGAAUAAGCUUCAGGACGGAGACCUCAAUAACUCCUUGUUGACUGGAUCCUCGAAUUCCUUACUUGCAGACAACAGACAGUUCAGAUAGGCAACAACACCUCCUCCACAAACUCCAAUGGCAGAGCUGUACCACAAGGCUGUGUGCUUAGGCCCCUGCUCUACUCACUUUAUACUUAUUACUGUGAGGCUAAGGUCAACUCCAGUGCCAUGUCCCAAUCAGUUAAGUUAGACAACCUCUCCUCCUCCACUCUCACCCUGAACACCAGCGUGCCUCAAGGCUGUGUGCUGAGCCCUCUUCUGUACUCCCUUUUCACCUAUGACUGAGUUCCUGUACAUAGUUCAUAAUCAAAUUUGCAGACAACAUCAUGGUGGUUGGCCUGAUCAGAGGGAAUGAUGAGACGGCCUACAGGGACGAGGUCCAGCACCUGGCCACGUGGUGUGCCGACAACAACCUGGCCCAUAACACCCAGAAGACCAAGGAUACCAUUGUGAACUUCAGGCAUGUUAGGAGUCACGCUCACGUCCCCAUCUACAUCAACGAAGCUGUAGUGGAGCAUGUAUCAAGCUUCAAAUUCCUUGGUGUCCACAUUUCCGAGGAUCUCACCUGGUCCCUGAAUUCCUCCAUUCUGAUCAAAAAGGCACAACAGAGCCUUUGUUUCCUGCGGAGCAUCAAGAAAGCUCACCUCUGUCCCAGGAUAUUGAUGGACUUUUACCGCUGUACCAUUGAGAGCAUACUCACCAACUGCAUCUCAGUGUGGUAUGGUAAUUGUCCCAUAUUGGACCGCAAAGCACUCCAGCGUGUAGUGAAAACUGCCCAGCGGACUAUUGGCACCCAAUUGUCCACCAUUGAGAACAUCUACCAUAAACGCUGCCUGGGUGGGGUGAAAAGCAUUAUCAAGGAUGCAUCUCUCCCUAACCAUGGACUUUUUACUCUCCUCCCAUCUGGUAGGCGCUACAGGAGCCUCCACUCCCGCACCAGCAGGCAUAGGAAGGGCUUCUUACCUGAUGCUGUGAUCCUGCUGAACUUCACAUCACAGCGCUAAGCAGUAUUGCUCCCAUAUUGUACUGUCUCAGUACUUUUAUAUUUGUGUGCUGUAGCACUUACUUUUUAUUCGCAGUCAUUUUGUAAGUAACACUAUUCUUUGCAUUUCUGGUUAGAUGCUAACUGCAUUUCACUGGCUUUGUAUCUGUACUCCGCACAAUGACAAUAAAGUUGAAUCUAAUCUAAUCUAAUGUUCAAGUUUGCUGAUGAUACCACUGUCAUUGGUUGAAUCAAAAGUGGUGAUGAAUCAUUAAGGAGGGAGAUUGAAAAUCUGGUUGAGUGGUGACACAACAACAGCCUCUCACUCAAUGUCAGCAAAACCAAAGAGCUGAUUAUUAAUUACAAGUGGAGGAAACCAAAGGUCUAUGAACCUGUCCUCAUUGGGGAAUUCUGAGGUGGAUAAGGUCAGCAACUUUAAACUCCUCAGCAUUGUAAUUUGAGAGGAUUUGUCCUGGGAACAAGACAUAAAUGCCAUUACAAAGAAAACACAGUAGUGCCUUUAUUUUCUUAGAAGUUUGCAAAGUUUUGGCAUGUCAUUUAAAACUUGGCAUACUUCUAUUGCCGUGUGGUGGAGAGCAUCACGGGUUGCAUCUGGUUACAUCACAACUUGUUCUGGAAACACCAAUGCACUUGAAUGGAAAAGCCUACAAAAAGUAUUGAUAGAGCCGGGUCCAUCAUGGGUGAAGCUCUCCCCACCGUUCAGCAUAUCUACAAGGAGCAUUGUUGCAGCAAGGUAGCAUCCAUCAUCAAGGACCCAUACCAUCCAGAUCGUGCCCUGGUCUCAUUGCUCCCAUUAGGAAAGAGAUACGAAAGCCUCAAGGCCCACAGCACUAGGCUGAGGAACAGUUAUUGCCCCUCAACCAUCAGGCUUUUGAACCAGAGGGGUUAGCUUCACUCAACUCCACUCAGCCCAUUCACUGAACUAUUCCCAUAACUUAUGGGCUCACUUUCAAGAACUCAUCAUCUCAUGUUCUUGUAUUUAUUGCUUGCUUGUUCGUUGUUUGUUUGUUUGUUUAUUUAUCUAUCUACCUCUUUUUGUAUUUGCAUGGUUUGUUGUCUCGCACAUUGCUGAUUGUCUGUCCUGUUGGGUGAAGUUUUUCAUUGAGUCUAUUGUGGUAUUUACUGCGAAUGCCCACAAGAAAAUGUAUCUCAGGGUUGUAUAGGGCGACAUAUGUUAUUCUGAUAAUAAAUUUACUGUGAGCUUUGAAC